Non-coding RNA from Benincasa hispida (wax gourd), 2278 nucleotides. Lineage: Eukaryota; Viridiplantae; Streptophyta; Magnoliopsida; Cucurbitales; Cucurbitaceae. The record is from RefSeq and is a predicted model, not a curated record.
CUUUCCCUCCCCCUCUCAUUUUCACUUUCCCUCCCUUCAUCUAUUUUUCUUCUCUCCUUUCUCUUCCUCUCUAUUUAAAAGAAUGGGAAAAAGAGAAGAAAUCCAAACCCUCUCCCCAUCAUUCACUAUUAAAAAAUCAAGUUUUUAUGUUUUUCCUCCUUUGCUUAGCAUCUUAUUCUUUAGCAAUCCCAGACGACAGAACGGUGAGCCUACGAUGAGCUGUGACAACUUACAAACUCUGGCAACCAAUUUUUGUGCGACCUAUUCUAUGCGUUGAUGUUGUGACUCAAGAACCCAUGACUCUCCCUCACUUUCAGCAAGUAUGACAAUAAUGAAAUCUCUAGAUCUAACUUUUCAUGCGAGCGCCCACUUCAUUUAGGUUCAUAAAAGUGUGUCCUUUCUUUGCGACGAGCUCUAGCAUCUUCUAUAAACUUUUUUACCUUAGGUUUGACUUCUUAGUGCUGCCACACUCCGAUUUGAGCUCAAAUCAGAUUACCCAUAGCGCUUAAGGGUUAGAUUUGCGAGUUUGGAUGCUUUAAAACACUAGCCAACAAAGUUUAGAGUUGUUCUUUGACUUUAAGGAAGUUGACAUAUGUUCAAGGAAAUGAAAUUUGGAUUGAGAAUUGUAGAAUUAUUUAUUGAGGUAAGUAUUUUUCACAUCUAUUCCAAAAUAUAUUUUGGCUAUUAUGAUUCGAUAAGAGUUCGAAUGUAUGUUUGUGUGAAUUGAGGAUUUAUUGAAAUAGUUUUGUGUAAUUUUAAUCGUUUCUACCAAAUGAAAAUAUAUGACUAAUUUUAAUUGCUUUAUAAUUGUUCCUAACACUUAAGCCAAUGUUCGAAGCUUUGGAUUAGUUUCGAACUUCUUCGAAUACUUUCAGCUAGGUCUCACAUCAUUUUUCGGUAAGUUUUAGAUGUUAACACUAUAUUUAGAUCUUUCAAAAUUCAAUUAAUGUGUUUUAAAGUAGUUUUCCUUGGGAACUCUUUUUGUAGUUCAUGACUAGUUCAAAGUAUUCAAACAAAUUUUUAAGGUUUUCGUUAAGGUAAAAACUAUUUUCAUGUAUCUAGAAAAUCUUGCAAUUGUUUUUAGAGUAUAAUAAUUAGUAAGUGGAGUUAAAACUAGCAUGAUGUGUUUUCUUUAAAAAGUAAUAUUACAAGGCAUUCAUCUUAAAACUUUAGUUUGUUUUGAAAUGUUAGGUUAGAAUAUGUGUUGGACUGCUCUGACUAUCCUACAGUUAUGGUAGUCAUAACUUAGUUAUUGUUUAUGUUAUGGUUUCCACUGAGCCGUUAUGAUUUCUAUUAGAGUUGGCUUUGAUUCAUGAGUUUCAUUACCUUGUUGAAUUUACUUCUUUCGAUAAGCUUAGUUGUCUAUUAGUCUUUUCUCUUAGUUUUGAUAAGCUUGUUUUGGUUGAUAAGUUUGUUUAUGGUUUUCAUUGAGUUCUUUUGUGUUUAUAAGUUUAUAAGUUUAUGUCUAUAUAUUUUUGUAAAUGAAAAUGGUUGCUAUUAGUCUUUUCUCUUAGUUUGAUAGACUUACUUUAUGAAAAUGGUUACUAUUAGUCUUUUCUUUUAGUUUGAUAGACUUACUUAUUUGGAUUUAUAAGUAAUUAUCCAUUGAACUGUUCUAUUAAUAUUUUCUCUUAGUUUGGUUAAGCUUACAUGCUUGUGCUGAUAAGUUUGUUUAUAAUUUAUUGGACUGAGUUCUCUAUACUAUAUUGAAAGAGAGGUUUGUGUUGGAGUUGUAACUAAUUUCAAUUGCUUUAUAGAUGUUACUAACACUUGAAGCUUCUGUUUGAAGCUUUGGAUUCGUUUAAGAAUUAUUAGGAUAAUUUCAGCCAGGUCCCAAAUCAUUUUUGGUAUGUUUUCCAAGUGAAUUUGUUGUAUGUGUUUAUAAGUUUUUUGAUUUAUGUUAUAUAUUUUUCAAAAUUCUAGUUGUGUUUUCUAUGAAGUUUAGGAGAACCAUUAACUUGUUGAGUUUAUGUUGAAUAGUUUGUGUGCCUUUAUCUUUAUGUUUAUGCAUUUUGCUAAAUUAAUUUGAAAAUAAUUAUGAUGGAAGUAGGAAGAUGCUUGAGUUCAAGUUAAGUGUGGUGAUGCCGACGACUUCAUUAGAAAAAAGUUAGAUAUGGUGAAACUGAUGAUGAGACUUCUUAAAGUAUUUAAGCUAUAAAAGACAAUUAUUUAGGGUCAACAAGUAAUUUUAAGGUUUUAGAGCCUUGUACUAUUAUGGUUACCAAUUUUGUUGAUCUUUGUUAUAUUACUUUUGUUGAAGUAAAAGAGUUAAUUGUUA